GAUGAACGCUGGCGGCGUGCCUAAUACAUGCAAGUCGAGCGAACGGACGAGAAGCUUGCUUCUCUGAUGUUAGCGGCGGACGGGUGAGUAACACGUGGAUAACCUACCUAUAAGACUGGGAUAACUUCGGGAAACCGGAGCUAAUACCGGAUGAUAUUUUGAACCGCAUGGUUCAAAAGUGAAAGACGGUCUUGCUGUCACUUAUAGAUGGAUCCGCGCUGCAUUAGCUAGUUGGUAAGGUAACGGCUACCAAGGCAACGAUGCAUAGCCGACCUGAGAGGGUGAUCGGCCACACUGGAACUGAGACACGGUCCAGACUCCUACGGGAGGCAGCAGUAGGGAAUCUUCCGCAAUGGGCGAAAGCCUGACGGAGCAACGCCGCGUGAGUGAUGAAGGUCUUCGGAUCGUAAAACUCUGUUAUUAGGGAAGAACAUAUGUGUAAGUAACUGUGCACAUCUUGACGGUACCUAAUCAGAAAGCCACGGCUAACUACGUG
RNAcentral lists this ribosomal RNA (496 nucleotides) under uncultured bacterium. Its description in RNAcentral is "partial 16S ribosomal RNA". It matches the Rfam family "Bacterial small subunit ribosomal RNA", at positions 28 to 507 of the family's 1533-position model. The record is from RNAcentral.